CCGUUGUAGCGUUGGAAGACUCUGUGGUCGAUGCAUCGGCACUUGCUGUGGAGGUCUCUGAUGUGACCGUCGUAGCGUUUGAAGAUUCAGUAGUUGACGCCUCUGGACUUGUCGUGGACGACUCCGAGGAGACCGUUGUAGCGUUGGAAGACUCUGUGAUUCAGUAGUCGACGCCUCCGCAUUUGUCGUAGACGUCUCCGACGAGACCGUUGUAUCGUUGGA
Molecule: long non-coding RNA, 222 nt
Organism: Neodiprion virginianus
Lineage: Eukaryota; Metazoa; Arthropoda; Insecta; Hymenoptera; Diprionidae
Exons: 3
Source: RefSeq, a predicted model, not a curated record